UUAUCCCAACUGUUGCUGCCUUGUU
Molecule: small RNA, 25 nt
Filed under: Bombyx mori (domestic silkworm)
Lineage: Eukaryota; Metazoa; Arthropoda; Insecta; Lepidoptera; Bombycidae
Description: ovarian small RNA-9437
Source: RNAcentral